RNAcentral lists this long non-coding RNA (1269 nucleotides) under Bos grunniens (domestic yak). RNAcentral describes it as "lncRNA (ENSBGRG00000024587.1)". Lineage: Eukaryota; Metazoa; Chordata; Mammalia; Artiodactyla; Bovidae. The record is from RNAcentral.
GAAGUUUCUGUCGGGCCCCUCGCGGGUCGCGUCCAGACCGGCAGGCUCCGGGCCGCGCAGCAGGAGCCGGUCGGCGCCCAGGGCCCGCACGGUGAUCUGCGCCGUGGACGUGUAAUGCGGCGGCAGCGGCGGCUUGCAGGACCCGCCGGGCGGCCCGGCGGCGGCGGCUGAGGCGGGGCGGCGGCCCCGGACACCAUCUCGAAGCAGGAGGAGAAGGCGGGCAUCUUGGCGGCGGGAGCGGCGGCGGCUUCGCGGGGCUCGGCGGCCGCGGCCGGCUGGCACUCACCGGUCUCGGGUUCCGGGCGCCACCGGCGGGUCCGGGGCUGCAGAGACCUUGAACGAGGUGGCGGUGGCGGCGGCGGGCGGAGCGGCGGUUGCGGCCGUGGGACCCUGGCCCCGGCUGGUGGUGGGUGCAGACGCUGCUGUAGAGCUGCAUGUCCCUGCCCGCCGCUCGGCCCCUUAUAGGCGCGCCGAGCCCCGGUGAGGGACACACCCUCCGGGCCCGGGGAAGGGGCCGGCCGAGCGCGGUGACCCAGUGCCCCGAGAAUAGAAAUGACCGAAGGGCCGCCGGCGCGUCAGGAGCUGCAAAUAGCGCCCGGGUCCCCGCCAAAUUCCUGCUGCGCCACAGCGCGCGGUGGGGCGGGAAGGGACGCGCGCUCGACCUGCCGGCGCUAGCGGCCCGCAGACCCGGACGCGUGCGCCCGCCGCCACUGCUCCGGCCCGCGGCGGCCGCUGAGGACUCACGGAGGUAGCCGCCCGCCCUGCUGGAGCGCGUCCCGCCGGCUAGCAGCACUGCAGGGCGCGCGGACGAGCCAGGAGGCGGGGCCGCGGUUGUUUACCUCAGGCAGCGCUGCCGCGUCACGUGCCUUCAUUGGAAUGUGCGGCUCGUCGCGGCGUCCCAUUCAACCGCCGGGCUCGCCCCACCCUCCGGCUCGCCCCGCCCCGUUCGGUGACGUCAUGGGCGUGGCCCGCAGCGCGGGCGACGGGCGCGCGGGCGGGAGAGCGCGGAGGCGCGGAGGCCUGUGUAGCCGUAGCCGCUGCCCCACCUCAGUGUUAGUUUCUAGGCGCCGCGGUUUUCUGCGCUUCAGCAGUGGAUCUUGGUGGGUUCAGGGCAGCUUGGGGCGGACAAGAAUGCUGAAGGCUUUUGCCCAUACUGCUCCUUUGCUGAACACUGCAUUUGGUCACUCGAAUUCACCCACGAGGUCUCUGUUUAGACGAUGCUUGUUCCAGACAGAGAGAAAUUCCCUCUGUCUCUGGCUCUGUAAGUGA